GUGCUGGGAUUACAGGCGCGAGCCACCACAUAUAUUAAAAUUGGAAUGUUACAGAGAAGAUUAGCAUGGCCCCCAUGCAAGGAUGGCAGGCAAAUUUGUGAAGUGUUCUGUAUUUUU
Molecule: small nuclear RNA, 117 nt
Organism: Cercocebus atys (sooty mangabey)
Lineage: Eukaryota; Metazoa; Chordata; Mammalia; Primates; Cercopithecidae
Source: Ensembl